Molecule: ribosomal RNA, 300 nt
Filed under: uncultured Selenomonas sp.
Lineage: Bacteria; Bacillati; Bacillota; Negativicutes; Selenomonadales; Selenomonadaceae
Description: bacterial SSU rRNA
Rfam family: Bacterial small subunit ribosomal RNA (bases 52-300)
Source: RNAcentral
UCAGUGUAGGGGCGGGAGGGCGGUGGGUUACGUAGGGUGCGGGCGUGGGCCGGAAUUACUGGGCGUAAAGGGGUCGUAGGGGGUUUGUGGGGUCGGCUGUGAAAUUCCGGGGCUUAACUCCGGGCGUGCAGGCGAUACGGGCAUAACUUGAGUACUGUAGGGAGACUGGAAUUCCUGGUGUAGCGGUGAAAUGCGCAGAUAUCAGGAGGAACACCGGUGGCGAAGGCGGGUCUCUGGGCAGUAACUGACGCUGAGGAGCGAAAGCAUGGGGAGCGAACAGGAUUAGAUACCCUGGUAGUC